This is a long non-coding RNA of Oncorhynchus nerka (sockeye salmon), 964 nucleotides long. RefSeq lists it as uncharacterized. The record is from RefSeq and is a predicted model, not a curated record. The transcript is spliced from 3 exons. NCBI's taxonomy places the organism in Eukaryota, Metazoa, Chordata, Actinopteri, Salmoniformes, Salmonidae.
UACGAGGCUGAGCAUCUGAAGGCCUCCUCACGUUCUGAGCAGACCAAUCACAAACCCUCCCCAGACCAGAUCAUCCCUCCUCUCCUGGACCUGAACCAGAACCGCAGUAAGCUGAAGAUGUAUAUUGGUCACCUGAGAGACCUGUGUCAAGAGAGAGACCCCCAGAUCCUGCAGGACCUGACACCUCCCUCCUCCUACCACAGCUCUCAACACACCGCCUGGGAGACACAGCUUCACAACAUGACCCCAGAGCAGGUAGGACUCUGACCUCUAACCCCUGACCCCUAACCCUUCCUCCUACCACAGCUCUCAACACACCGCCUGGGAGACACAGCUUCACAACAUGACCCCAGAGCAGUUGGAGUCGGAGCUGGCGGUGUGUGAGAGGGAGAGUGCAGAACUCCAGGAGCAUGCUAACUGUGUCCUGCAGCAGAUCGCUGACCACUGCCCCGACAUCCUGGAGCAGGUGGUCAACGCCCUGGAAGAGUCCUGCUGACCUGUCAAAGUCCCCGCCAACCACACUCUCACAACACGUCAAGAGAGAGAGAGAGAUGCCUUUAUAUUUGCGCCUUCAUUUCCUGCCUUACCAGUUCUCCCAAUAUCUCUUUGGGGAUUUGUUACUGAUUUAUUAACAAUGAUUUGUCAGAUUGGUGCAACAAAUGUUUGUGGUGAGAAGGCCUUCUUGGACCGUUCAUGACGUUGAACCCUGUCUUUUUCUGAGACCUGACCACAAAACCUGUCCGUUACUAAGGUGUGGUCAACCAUGUUAUAUUAGUGUUACUCACAUACAGUUACUGCUUAGUUACUACACGGUUACUGCUUAUUUACUGCUUAGUUACCACACAGUUACUGCUUAGUUACCAUACAGAUACUGCUUAGUUACUACACAGUUACUGCUUAGUUACUACACAGUUACUGCUUAGUUACUACACAGUUACUGCUUAGUUACUACACAGUUACUGCU